This is a long non-coding RNA of Phascolarctos cinereus (koala), 2206 nucleotides long. RefSeq lists it as uncharacterized. The record is from RefSeq and is a predicted model, not a curated record. NCBI's taxonomy places the organism in Eukaryota, Metazoa, Chordata, Mammalia, Diprotodontia, Phascolarctidae.
CCUAUCUUGUCCGCCAUCUCAGCUGCCGGCCAAAAAACCCUUGUUAACUGAUAACGGGGGAAGAUGGUGGGGAAAGCCAGGAAGUCAGCCCAGGCACAGCUGUGUGGGCCGUAGAGCAGGGAACUGGGUUGGUCACCAAAUGGCCAGCCAUUCUCUGAUCCUACUGACCAAAGUGAACCAGGGUCCCCCAGCCCAUUCAAGAAGCAUUGGCAAGUGGCCUUCGGAUAGCUACCAGUCUUUGGCAUAACCUGUUGCUAGGAGGUGAUUGUGAGUCCUGGAGAAGAGGCCUUACCCAGAGCCAGAGGGCCUGAGAGAAGAGUAUGAAUUCUGAGCCAAUAUGUCACUCACAGUCGUAAUUCUGACAUACUGCGGGUCUAAGAUGGGAAAAGGCGCAAAAACAGAAGGAAGCCUGGAAAUGUCCACCGAGUGUCACAGCCUCCUUUGGACAGCGUCAAACCUCGGCUUGCUGACGUUUCAGCUAGAGGACGCUCAGUGCUGAGAGAACCAGACUAGGUCACACAAGGAAGACAUUCAUGUUGGCAGAAAGAUGCCCCUCCUGUUUGUCUUUGGGAUCAUUGUGGCUGGAGGCUGAAAUGGACCUUGAGUGGCAGACCCAAGUCAUGGUGGAUGGAGUGAUGGCCACUGACAUGGAGAGGAUUUAAUCUCCCUGGGGAUGAAAAGGAUCAGAAGAUAUGCUUCUGGCUCCUGGACUGCUUGCUGGUGAGAGCUGGAGGGCGUGAGACAUGAUGAGCCACAAUCAUCACACACAGAUACCAGCGUCUUAACUCAGAGGAGACGACCAGUUACUCCCAGGGGAGUCGCUUCUGAAUCAGCUUUCUGGGUGAAAUCAGACCAUCAACUGCUUAGAGGAAAGGUCAAAACCAACACCAAGUUAAGUGACAGAUGAAGAUGAGAAAGCACCACUUAUGAUUACAGCCUCUCCAGCCUGACCUAUUCAAAUGAUCCUUUGACUGAAAAAAUGGGAAAAGGAAAAUGCAAAGAUAUUAACUCGGAAGACCCCAUUCCCUUUAUGUUUAAUCUGUCUAAUGCAGUCAUCCAAGUACAAGUCCAGCAAUAGCCUUAGCCCAGAAACGCUUGUUUCUCCUUGCCAAGCAGCAGCCAAGACCACUACCCGUUUAGAGUAUGAAUGUUUGGAAAGUGUUCCAGAGGAAGAUGACAGAUUAUGAGUCGCGUCACUUCACAAAACAGGAAGAGGCGGUGGAGAAAACAAGUCCGCAGCAGAAAGUGUGUCACAAGAGCCAAGCCAAAUCAUCCCGAAACAUUGGUGGGCGCAACCAUCAGGAAGUCAACAGAGAGGCAAAAACGAAAACAAAACCAAAGAAAAAUAGAUGUUUUUCAAAGAGUCUCCAUAAUAAUCUGCUUUCAUCAUCUAUAGUAGGACCAUCAUUUUUAGGUUCUAACAUCUACAUGUCUGAUGUGUUUUAUGAGACAAUAGGAUUAGAGCUUAAGAAUCUAGAGCCUUUCUCUGUGUGUAUCUUGUAUAUACUUCAUUCUUUACAUCGCUUCCAGGUUCAUGUAAAUUCUCUUACCUGAUUCACAAUCUACCUCCCCAUCUGCCUUGCAGUCCUGCUUCCCACUCUUCACCCUCACCAUAGCCUCUACUCUCUCUACCACCCCUGCACCCCUACAUCAGCUGCGCUCUCCUCCCUCCUCCAUCUUGACCCCUCCAUAAUCCAUUUGAAGUCUACACUGUACUCCUCUCUGGCGUCCACUGCCACUUCAUCCCAUCGCUGCAACAACCCAGCUUUGCAUCUCCGCCGUCAUUCAUAACGUUUGCUCUUACUCAUGUCCCGCUGAACACGAAUGGAGACAAUCACCAGACCUUGCUGACUGCGUCAUUACCGAUUUAGGUGACGCUGUCACCUCACCUGGGUCCUCCCUGUUCUUUCUCCUGGUUCUCCUCAUACCUUUUGUCUACUCCUCAGUCUCUCUUACUGGAUCACCAUCCAUAUUAUGCCCUCGAACCAUGGGUGUUCUCCAAGGCACUGUCUUCUGUACUGUUUCACUGGUAUUCUCAUUAUUGCUCGCUGAUUCAGUGAUUAUCCCAAUGCUGAAAAUUCUCAGAUCUAUUUAUCAAGCCCUGACCUCUGUCCUGACUUCCAGGCUUGUAUCGCCAAUUUCCUGUUUUAAAAUCGACAUAUUCAAAAACUGAAUUCAUUAUCUUUUACCCCCAAAUCUCUCCUCU